RNAcentral lists this ribosomal RNA (830 nucleotides) under Hornellobothrium sp. n. 1 AW-2016. Its description in RNAcentral is "partial 16S ribosomal RNA". The stretch from base 574 to 830 matches the Rfam family "Bacterial large subunit ribosomal RNA", at positions 2048 to 2599 of the family's 2925-position model. The record is from RNAcentral. Lineage: Eukaryota; Metazoa; Platyhelminthes; Cestoda; Lecanicephalidea; Lecanicephalidae.
CUUAAUUGAUUUUAUUAAAUAAAGUUUUUUAACCGAAAACAUUUGAUUUUAUUUUUAGUUGGAUACGUUUGUCUUAUAUUUAGUCAGGUAGACUAGUUUAAAACUAUAUUUACGUUGUGAUAAAUUAUUCGGUUGUGUUUAUAUCUGUUUUAUGGCUUGUUACAUUAUAUUAGUUUCUAGGCUAUGAUGUCUAGUAGUAGAAAACAUCUAUGUUAUAGAGUUAUUAAGAAAGGGUUAAAAUUACCCAGUUUUUGUAAUUGUGUUACAACUUUAUUUUAUAUAAAUAUGUAGAUUUUUUUGAUAAGCCAUUUAUAUUUAACUAUUAGGAUUAUAAUUAUGAUUAAAUAAGUAAUAUUAAUAUAAAUUUUGUUUCUCGGAGAUUGCCUGUCUGUUUAUUAAAAACAUUUCCACAUGAAGUUAUUAUGUGGUAGUACCUGCUCUAUGCUUUAAGUAAAUGGCCGCAGUAUCUUGACUGUGCGAAGGUAGCAUAAUUAAUUGCCUUAUAAUUGAAGGCUUGUUUGAAUGGUUUGACAAGGUAGUAUACAACAUGGUUUAUUUUAUUGAAAUUAAUUAUGGGGGCACAGAAUCCCCUUAAUUUAAUUAGACGGAAAGACCCCGGGAUCUUUUAUUUUUGUCUGGGGCAGAUUACGAUUUUUCAUUAGUAAAUUUGACCCUAAUGGUGCAUUGGUGUAAGUUACCCCGGGGAUAACAGUGUAAUAGUUUAUUAGAGAUCUUAUCGAAUUGACUGUUUGCCACCUCGAUGUUGACUUAGGUUUAGGCUUGGGCGCAGUAGUUUAAGUCUUUGGUCUGUUCGACCAUAGUUUACCUCC